UGUGUUGUGGCUCAGUGGUAGAACACUUGCCUAGCAUGUAUGAGGUACUGAGUUCAAUUCUCAGCAUCACAU
Non-coding RNA from Ictidomys tridecemlineatus (thirteen-lined ground squirrel), 72 nucleotides. NCBI's taxonomy places the organism in Eukaryota, Metazoa, Chordata, Mammalia, Rodentia, Sciuridae. The record is from Rfam.